UACAGAGGUCCCAAGCGUUGUUCGGAUUCACUGGGCGUAAAGGGUGCGUAGGUGGUUGGGUAAGUCUGAGGUGAAAUCUCCGAGCUUAACUCGGAAACUGCCUUGGAUACUAUCCAGCUUGAGGGUUGGAGGGGGGACUGGAAUUCUCGGUGUAGCAGUGAAAUGCGUAGAUAUCGAGAGGAACACCAGUGGCGAAGGCGAGUCCCUGGACAACUCCUGACACUGAGGCACGAAAGCGUGGGGAGCGAACAGG
RNAcentral lists this ribosomal RNA (253 nucleotides) under uncultured bacterium. RNAcentral describes it as "partial 16S ribosomal RNA". It matches the Rfam family "Bacterial small subunit ribosomal RNA", at positions 524 to 776 of the family's 1533-position model. The record is from RNAcentral.